GGGGGCGUUCCGGCUUCGACGGGGAACAUAAGCGGUUCUUGGGUAGCGUGUCGUUUUUUUCCGCGCGAUACGCGGAUAACACACCUGCCAACGAUAACUUGGCUCUGGCUGCUUAAACACCAGUCAGCGCGGCGACGGAAGCCUUGAUUCACGGCGUCUGCCGUUCGCGUCGCUAAAGUGGAUCAAUGGGUGCAGUUGGCCUCAGCCUGCACCCGGAUACUCAUGAGGCUGGCUGAACGCGGCAGAUGGUCCCGGUUCCAACCGCGCUCGGCGAGAUCCCCAAACCGAGACUACGCACGUAGAAGCCCUUGAGACGCGUUCUUCGGACGCGGGUUCGAUUCCCGCCGCCUCCACCA
RNAcentral lists this transfer-messenger RNA (356 nucleotides) under Acidobacteriota bacterium. RNAcentral describes it as "Acidobacteria bacterium transfer-messenger RNA". It matches the Rfam family "transfer-messenger RNA". Rfam says of the family: Bacterial tmRNA, also known as 10Sa RNA or SsrA, is named for its dual tRNA and mRNA-like properties. Its role is to liberate the mRNA from a stalled ribosome. The record is from RNAcentral. Lineage: Bacteria; Pseudomonadati; Acidobacteriota.